Molecule: long non-coding RNA, 364 nt
Filed under: Vitis vinifera (wine grape)
Lineage: Eukaryota; Viridiplantae; Streptophyta; Magnoliopsida; Vitales; Vitaceae
Description: long non-coding RNA (VVIN_LNC004357)
Source: RNAcentral
CGCGCACAAUGGCUCCCAACGGCGCCCUUCGCCGGAGACAGCGCCUGAAGGUGCGCCUCCAGCGUGCCACCAGCGUUGCAGCGGAUCUGGCGACGCCUCCAACAGCGCUGCAGAUAGCGCUUGAACGCUGCAUCAAAGAGUGCCUGAACGGCGCUCCUAAUGGCGCCUGAACGGCGUCAGGAAUGACACCGAAGUAGCGCCCUGAACGGUGCCUGCAGCGUGCCUCCAAGGUGCAUGAACAGCGCCUUCAAUGUUCAAAUUAUUAUUAUUAUUUUGUUUAGGAUCCAUUAAAGGGUCCUGGAUCUGUUUGAUUCCCGUUUUGAAAACUUGAAUAUGGUUUUGGGGAAAAUGGAACCUGUGCUCU